UCCAAUCUUGUCUUGACUGAUCAGGACUCCUCAGCGCACCUUCUCACGAUGAGGCUCUGUGCUCAGCUCCUGGGUCUGCUAAUGUUCUGGGUCCCUGGAUCCAGUGGGGAUAUUGUGAUGACCCAGACUCCACUCUCUCUGCCCGUCACCCCUGGAGAGCCGGCCUCCAUCUCCUGCAGGUCUAGUCAGAGCCUCCUGCACAGUAAUGGAUACACCUAUUUGCAUUGGUACCUGCAGAAGCCAGGCCGGUCUCCACAGCUCCUGAUCUAUGAUGCUUCCAACCGGGCCUCUGGAGUCCCAGACAGGUUCAGCGGCAGUGGGUCAGGCACUGAUUUCACACUGAAAAUCAGCCGGGUGGAGGCUGAGGAUGUCGGGGUUUAUUACUGCAUGCAAGGUAUACAAUAUCCUCCCACAGUGGUACAGCCUCGAACAGAAACUUCCCUGCUGGGGUGUCCCAGCUUCUUACAUGCACUACUUGUCUGGGGAGCAGCUCAGCAGGGCCUCUUGAGUAUGCAGAAGAGGAAGUUGUUGGAGAACUCAGGGGCAGAGUUUGCUAUUGAGGAAUCUGACCCAUGAGAGUCUCAGCAGCACCUCAGUCCCACGUGGUCAAAACUCCAUUAGUUGCCAGCCUCAUCCUCACCCUGCCUGUCUUGCUCACGAUUGCCAAGUACAUUCAGUCAGCAUAACAGCCAGAACAUAGGUGCAGUUUAGUGACAACAUAAGUGGAAUACAUGUGGAAAAUGACCAGUGUGGGGUUUAUUUUAUACAAAUUAAUACUUGGUGAUAAUACUUGGAAUUAUUUCCCCACUUCCCUUACUUUCUAUUUCCCUUUACCACUCACGCUAAACUGCACUUUCCAGUGUCAUGUUGGAGAACGUGUUCUAUACAAGCUGUCCUCAGGGGGAGUAUGGAUAUGAAUAAUUUGUAAAACUGUUU
This is a non-coding RNA of Cebus imitator (Panamanian white-faced capuchin), 936 nucleotides long. NCBI's taxonomy places the organism in Eukaryota, Metazoa, Chordata, Mammalia, Primates, Cebidae. The record is from the annotation of a RefSeq genome assembly.